GUCUAUGGCCAUGCCACCCUGAACAAACCCGAUGUCUGAUCUCGGAAGCUAAGUAGGGUCGGGCCUGGUUAGUACUCGGAUGGGAGACCACCUAGGAAGACCAGGUGCUGUAGGCA
RNAcentral lists this ribosomal RNA (116 nucleotides) under Pteropus alecto (black flying fox). The record is from RNAcentral. Lineage: Eukaryota; Metazoa; Chordata; Mammalia; Chiroptera; Pteropodidae.